RNAcentral lists this transfer RNA (76 nucleotides) under Fusobacterium varium. RNAcentral describes it as "tRNA-Lys". It matches the Rfam family "tRNA". Rfam says of the family: Transfer RNA (tRNA) molecules are approximately 80 nucleotides in length. Their secondary structure includes four short double-helical elements and three loops (D, anti-codon, and T loops). Further hydrogen bonds mediate the characteristic L-shaped molecular structure. tRNAs have two regions of fundamental functional importance: the anti-codon, which is responsible for specific mRNA codon recognition, and the 3' end, to which the tRNAs corresponding amino acid is attached (by aminoacyl-tRNA synthetases). tRNAs cope with the degeneracy of the genetic code in two manners: having more than one tRNA (with a specific anti-codon) for a particular amino acid; and 'wobble' base-pairing, i.e. permitting non-standard base-pairing at the 3rd anti-codon position. RNAcentral also lists the same sequence under 1 other name. Lineage: Bacteria; Fusobacteriati; Fusobacteriota; Fusobacteriia; Fusobacteriales; Fusobacteriaceae. The record is from RNAcentral.
GCGCCAUUAGCUCAGUUGGUAGAGCAUCUGACUCUUAAUCAGGUGGUCACAGGUUCGAAUCCUGUAUGACGCACCA